RNAcentral lists this ribosomal RNA (497 nucleotides) under uncultured bacterium. RNAcentral describes it as "partial 16S ribosomal RNA". It matches the Rfam family "Bacterial small subunit ribosomal RNA", at positions 28 to 507 of the family's 1533-position model. The record is from RNAcentral.
GAUGAACGCUGGCGGCGUGCCUAAUACAUGCAAGUCGAGCGAACGGACGAGAAGCUUGCUUCUCUGAUGUUAGCGGCGGACGGGUGAGUAACACGUGGAUAACCUACCUAUAAGACUGGGAUAACUUCGGGAAACCGGAGCUAAUACCGGAUAAUAUUUUGAACCGCAUGGUUCAAAAGUGAAAGACGGUCUUGCUGUCACUUAUAGAUGGAUCCGCGCUGCAUUAGCUAGUUGGUAAGGUAACGGCUUACCAAGGCAACGAUGCAUAGCCGACCUGAGAGGGUGAUCGGCCACACUAGAACUGAGACACGGUCCAGACUCCUACGGGAGGCAGCAGUAGGGAAUCUUCCGCAAUGGGCGAAAGCCUGACGGAGCAACGCCGCGUGAGUGAUGAAGGUCUUCGGAUCGUAAAACUCUGUUAUUAGGGAAGAACAUAUGUGUAAGUAACUGUGCACAUCUUGACGGUACCUAAUCAGAAAGCCACGGCUAACCACGUG